Molecule: ribosomal RNA, 508 nt
Filed under: uncultured bacterium
Lineage: Bacteria
Description: partial 16S ribosomal RNA
Rfam family: Bacterial small subunit ribosomal RNA
Source: RNAcentral
GAUGAACGCUAGCUACAGGCUUAACACAUGCAAGUCGAGGGGAAACGAUAUUGGAAGCUUGCUUCCGAUAGGCGUCGACCGGCGCACGGGUGAGUAACGCGUAUCCAACCUGCCCACCACUUGGGGAUAACCUUGCGAAAGUAAGACUAAUACCCAAUGAUAUCUCUAGAAGACAUCUGAAGGAGAUUAAAGAUUUAUCGGUGAUGGAUGGGGAUGCGUCUGAUUAGCUUGUUGGCGGGGUAACGGCCCACCAAGGCGACGAUCAGUAGGGGUUCUGGGAGGAAGGUCCCCCACAGUGGAACUGAGACACGGUACAAACUCCUACGGGAGGCAGCAGUGAGGAAUAUUGGUCAAUGGACGAGAGUCUGAACCAGCCAAGUAGCGUGCAGGAUGACGGCCCUAUGGGUUGUAAACUGCUUUUAUAAGGGAAUAAAGUGAGCCUCGUGAGGCUUUUUGCAUGUACCUUAUGAAUAAGGACCGGCUAAUUCCGUGCCAGCAGCCGCCGUAA